RNAcentral lists this ribosomal RNA (374 nucleotides) under uncultured eukaryote. RNAcentral's name for it is "partial 18S ribosomal RNA". It matches the Rfam family "Eukaryotic small subunit ribosomal RNA", at positions 592 to 976 of the family's 1831-position model. The record is from RNAcentral.
UAAUAGCGUAUAUUAAAGUUGUUGCAGUUAAAAAGCUCGUAGUCGGAUGUCGGGCUCGGGGAGGCUGUCGGCCUUUGGUCGGACGGCAUGUCCGGGCCUUUCUGCCUGGGGAUCCUAUUCUACUUAACUGUAGGGUAGUGGGACGCAGGCCGUUUACUUUGAAAAAAUUAGAGUGUUCAAAGCAGGCCUACGCUUGAAUACAUUAGCAUGGAAUAACGGAAUAGGACUUUGGUCUUAUUUGUUGGUUUAUGGGACCGAAGUAAUGAUUAACAGGGACAGUUGGGGCCGUUUAUAUUUCGUUGUCAGAGGUGAAAUUCUUGGAUUUACGAAAGAUAAACUUCUGCGAAAGCAUUCGGCAAGGAUGUUUUCAUUGA